Molecule: ribosomal RNA, 220 nt
Filed under: uncultured Glomus
Lineage: Eukaryota; Fungi; Glomeromycota; Glomeromycetes; Glomerales; Glomeraceae
Description: partial small subunit ribosomal RNA
Rfam family: Eukaryotic small subunit ribosomal RNA
Source: RNAcentral
CCAAUAGCGUAUAUUAAAGUUGUUGCAGUUAAAAAGCUCGUAGUUGAAUUUCGGGAUCAGUACGCUGGUCGUACCUUCAGUACGUACUGGUGUCACUGAUUCCUCCCUUCUGAAGAACCAUCAUGCCAUUCAGUUGGUGUGGCAGGGAAUCAGGACUGUUACUUUGAAAAAAUUAGAGUGUUUAAAGCAGGCUCGCGCUUGAAUACAUUAGCAUGGAAUA